GGUGGCAUAGCCAAGUGGUAAGGCCAAGGUCUGCAAAACCUUUAUCACCGGUUCAAAUCCGGUUGCCACCUCCA
This 74-nucleotide transfer RNA is filed under the name Sutcliffiella halmapala. RNAcentral describes it as "tRNA-Cys". It matches the Rfam family "tRNA". From Rfam's summary of the family: Transfer RNA (tRNA) molecules are approximately 80 nucleotides in length. The record is from RNAcentral. RNAcentral also lists the same sequence under 12 other names. Lineage: Bacteria; Bacillati; Bacillota; Bacilli; Caryophanales; Bacillaceae.